Molecule: ribosomal RNA, 253 nt
Filed under: uncultured bacterium
Lineage: Bacteria
Description: partial 16S ribosomal RNA
Rfam family: Bacterial small subunit ribosomal RNA
Source: RNAcentral
UACGGAGGGGGCUAGCGUUAUUCGGAAUUAUUGGGCGGAAAGGGCGUGUAGGCGGCUUCGUAAGUCUUGUGUGAAAGCCCUCGGCUCAACCGAGGAAUUGCACGAGAAACUGCGUGGCUCGAGUCCGGGAGAGGAUAGUGGAAUUCCCAGUGUAGCGGUGAAAUGCGUAGAUAUUGGGAGGAACACCGGUGGCGAAGGCGGCUAUCUGGACCGGUACUGACGCUGAUACGCGAAAGCCAGGGGAGCAAACGGG